This 752-nucleotide unclassified non-coding RNA is filed under the name Tolpis lagopoda. RNAcentral's name for it is "partial external transcribed spacer". The record is from RNAcentral. Lineage: Eukaryota; Viridiplantae; Streptophyta; Magnoliopsida; Asterales; Asteraceae.
ACGCCGAUCCCAAGCACCAUGGAGCCGACGAUUUGGAUCAAGACCUACAUCCCAAGCACCAAGGUGCCUGGUUGAUAUGGAUCGCGAUCCCGAUCCGGAGCUCCAGGGCGCCGAGGAUUUCGAUCACGAUCCCGAUCUGAAGCACCGAGUAGCCGAGGAUAUGGAUCAAGACCCCGGUCCGAAGCGACAAGGAGGCAAGGAUUUGGAUCACCACUCCGAUCAAAGGCACCAAGGCGUCGAGGGAUUGGAUCGAGAUCCCGAUCCCAAUCAUGAUGUUGGCUAUGUAAUUUCCCGUUUUCCACACCGUUCAGGGCAUUUUGGUGGUCGUAUCGGCUUUUAGUUGCUUGCUUGGUGAUAGUGCCAAGGGAGUGGUUGGAAGCUAGGUCGUCCUCUGGAAUGCUUGUUGUAAAGGUGUAUGAGUUGUGUUUGGCUUGUUACGGGUGUUUGUUGGCUGCUUGUGCAGGAACUUUCAUGCGUCCAAGCCUCUUCAGUUGUGCUACAAGGCCUUGUUUGUCUUGCGCAUACGGUGGGUUUCCUGUGUUGCAUACCUAAUCAAGGGCAUCGUAUGGCUUGAUAGAAGUAAAUAUUCGUAAUGCGCCGCUUGCGGCGUUGCACGAACCUCGAAGUGGUCUCUGUGGCCCAUGUUGUCUUUGCUCAUGCAUGGAUGGCAUGGCCCUCGGAGCGUCGCUUGGUCUCUUGGAUACGGAACCUGAUGAUGUGGGCGGUAGGGUCUUGGAUGAUUCUACCUUCGC